Molecule: ribosomal RNA, 934 nt
Filed under: Staphylococcus aureus
Lineage: Bacteria; Bacillati; Bacillota; Bacilli; Caryophanales; Staphylococcaceae
Description: partial 23S ribosomal RNA
Rfam family: Bacterial large subunit ribosomal RNA
Source: RNAcentral
UGGACAAUGGUAGGAGAGCGUUCUAAGGGCGUUGAAGCAUGAUCGUAAGGACAUGUGGAGCGCUUAGAAGUGAGAAUGCCGGUGUGAGUAGCGAAAGAUGGGUGAGAAUCCCGUCCACCGAUUGACUAAGGUUUCCAGAGGAAGGCUCGUCCGCUCUGGGUUAGUCGGGUCCUAAGCUGAGGCCGACAGGCGUAGGCGAUGGAUAACAGGUUGAUAUUCCUGUACCACCUAUAAUCGUUUUAAUCGAUGGGGGGACGCAGUAGGAUAGGCGAAGCGUGCGAUUGGAUUGCACGUCUAAGCAGUAAGGCUGAGUAUUAGGCAAAUCCGGUACUCGUUAAGGCUGAGCUGUGAUGGGGAGAAGACAUUGUGUCUUCGAGUCGUUGAUUUCACACUGCCGAGAAAAGCCUCUAGAUAGAAAAUAGGUGCCCGUACCGCAAACCGACACAGGUAGUCAAGAUGAGAAUUCUAAGGUGAGCGAGCGAACUCUCGUUAAGGAACUCGGCAAAAUGACCCCGUAACUUCGGGAGAAGGGGUGCUCUUUAGGGUUAACGCCCAGAAGAGCCGCAGUGAAUAGGCCCAAGCGACUGUUUAUCAAAAACACAGGUCUCUGCUAAACCGUAAGGUGAUGUAUAGGGGCUGACGCCUGCCCGGUGCUGGAAGGUUAAGAGGAGUGGUUAGCUUCUGCGAAGCUACGAAUCGAAGCCCCAGUAAACGGCGGCCGUAACUAUAACGGUCCUAAGGUAGCGAAAUUCCUUGUCGGGUAAGUUCCGACCCGCACGAAAGGCGUAACGAUUUGGGCACUGUCUCAACGAGAGACUCGGUGAAAUCAUAGUACCUGUGAAGAUGCAGGUUACCCGCGACAGGACGGAAAGACCCCGUGGAGCUUUACUGUAGCCUGAUAUUGAAAUUCGGCACAGCUUGUACAGGAUAGGUA